AAUCAUUAAAAAAAACUUAUCCUCCACCCUUUCUCUCCCUUUCAUCUCUCUCUUUCUGAACAAUCUUUUGUUGGAAUGCAGCGGACGAGAAUGAAGUAAAUAUAUUGAACAACCUUUCUCAGGCAGGUUGGAAGUGGCGGUGGUUUGCCACACUUAAAAUCACCAUGGAUGGGUGAUUAUCACCACAAUAUCAUAAUGACAAUAAUUAAGUCAACCUCCUUAGACCAAUUUACUAUGAUAAUAUUAAUAAUGUAAUAUACAACGACUAUUCUCGAAAUUGUCAAGCACAAAACGGUAAAUAAAUAACACUGAGAUUUACGUAGUUCCCUCUAAUGCGGUGAGUACAUCUACGACAACAGCGACAAAUACGAGCACUUCUUCAGUAUAAUCAAGGUAGAUACAAGGUGAUCUGAGCCGAUCCAAAAUAAUAAUUUUCAAGUGUUUCACAAACCCCGAAACAAUUACUCACUAUUUUUAUCGCUCACAAGAAAGUAUUUUUACCACGGUAAAACAUUUAGCAGUAUUUUCUACGGCUCACCUAUCUACCCAAUUGAGAUAACUUAUCUCAAUUAUAUAAGUAAAGAAAUCCUAUCACUACACAAAGAGAAAGAAGAAGAACGUACAUAGAGAAAAAGAUGAUGAG
Molecule: long non-coding RNA, 643 nt
Filed under: Linum usitatissimum (flax)
Lineage: Eukaryota; Viridiplantae; Streptophyta; Magnoliopsida; Malpighiales; Linaceae
Description: long non-coding RNA (LUSI_LNC003471)
Source: RNAcentral